AUUUUAUAUAUACAUAUAAUGCAAUACAAUGAAAUACAAUGCAAUAUAAUGAAAUUGUACAAUACAAUGUACAAUAUAAUGAAAUUAUACGAUACAAUAUGAAAUAUAAUGAAAUUAGUAGUAGAAUAUUAUGAAAUACGAGGAAAGACAUAACGCAAUAAUGCAUUUUGUAUUUAUGUACAAUAUAAUGAAAUUAUACAACACAAUAUACAAUGUAAUGAAAUUAUACAAUACAAUAUACAAUAUAAUGAAAUUAUACGAUACAAUAUACAAUAUAAUGAAAUUAUACGUAGAAUAUUAUGAAAUACAGGGAAAGACAUAACGCAAUAGCGCAUUUUGUAUUUAUGUUUUCUUUGUCUUGCGUAUGAUAAAUUCUAUCAAAUUAUAGUUGAAAUAUCUUUUAAACUAACCAGCUAUCGACCAUGAUUACCCUGAGAAUUUCUUUCGUAGAACAAUCAGAUAGUUCAAUGUAUGUAAAAAAAGAAGAAAAUUUCCAUUUGAAAAAUUUGCUUAUUUCCUGCAAUUUGCUUUUAUUCGAACUAGUAGCGUGACAUGAUCUAUCCUGUAUAUCGAUAAGUCUGACGGCUCUUUAACAUGCCAAAAUGAAGUGUUGGAGAGAAAAUGAUGGAAAACUUUUGCACCACACUGUAUAUUCUGCACGCAUGAACCGGUGAAGGCAACGAGGGGAAAUUAAUAAACUUUGUUAAUCGCUGAAUAAACCAGUUUGUCGAUCCGUUCA
Molecule: long non-coding RNA, 739 nt
Organism: Bombus huntii
Lineage: Eukaryota; Metazoa; Arthropoda; Insecta; Hymenoptera; Apidae
Exons: 2
Source: RefSeq, a predicted model, not a curated record